RNAcentral lists this ribosomal RNA (301 nucleotides) under uncultured bacterium. RNAcentral describes it as "partial 16S ribosomal RNA". It matches the Rfam family "Bacterial small subunit ribosomal RNA", at positions 509 to 809 of the family's 1533-position model. The record is from RNAcentral.
CAGCAGCCGCGGGAAAACGUAGGGUGCAAGCGUUAAUCGGAAUUACUGGGCGUAAAGCGUGCGCAGGCGGUUUUGUAAGACAGAGGUGAAAUCCCCGGGCUCAACCUGGGAACUGCCUUUGUGACUGCAAGGCUAGAGUACGGCAGAGGGGGAUGGAAUUCCGCGUGUAGCAGUGAAAUGCGUAGAUAUGCGGAGGAACACCGAUGGCGAAGGCAAUCCCCUGGGCCUGUACUGACGCUCAUGCACGAAAGCGUGGGGAGCAAACAGGAUUAGAUACCCCCGUAGUCCCUGUCUCUUAUCA